UGGGGAAUAUUGCACAAUGGGCGAAAGCCUGAUGCAGCGACGCCGCGUGAGGGAUGACGGCCUUCGGGUUGUAAACCUCUUUCAGCAGGGACGAAGCGCAAGUGACGGCACCUGCAGAAGAAGCACCGGCUAACUACGUGCCAGCAGCCGCGGUAAUACGUAGGGUGCAAGCGUUGUCCGGAAUUACUGGGCGUAAAGAGUUCGUAGGCGGUUUGUCGCGUCGUUUGUGAAAACCAGCAGCUCAACUGCUGGCUUGCAGGCGAUACGGGCAGACUUGAGUACUGCAGGGGGGACUGGAAUUCCUGGUGUAGCGGUGAAAUGCGCAGAUAUCAGGAGGAACACCGGUGGCGAAGGCGGGUCUCUGGGCAGUAACUGACGCUGAGGAACGAAAGCGUGGGUAGCGAACAGG
Molecule: ribosomal RNA, 409 nt
Filed under: bacterium
Lineage: Bacteria
Description: partial 16S ribosomal RNA
Rfam family: Bacterial small subunit ribosomal RNA
Source: RNAcentral